Long non-coding RNA from Solanum pennellii, 676 nucleotides. RefSeq lists it as uncharacterized. The transcript is spliced from 2 exons. The record is from RefSeq and is a predicted model, not a curated record. NCBI's taxonomy places the organism in Eukaryota, Viridiplantae, Streptophyta, Magnoliopsida, Solanales, Solanaceae.
UUCCUUUUUUCUCCUCCUCUCGUUCCAUCAUUCCUUCCUUUACAGAUCAUUGUUCUUGCGGUAUUUUCUAAAUCAUCAGCGAUAAUCUUUUGGAAUCCUCUUCUACAGCAAGACGUCGUUGUCCUCAUCAUUUCUAGUUUAUCGUUGAUAUUCUCUCAAGUAAUAUUUAAUUAAGGCUUGGACAUUUGAAGUCAUUCCUUAUUUGACUCAUCAAGUAAUUACAGAAGAACAGAUCUCAUCUCCAAGGAUAUUUAGAUGGUUGAGAUCAAAAAUAAAAACUACCAAAGAUGGGCAUAUUCCAAAUCGUUUAACCCUCCUCGUGAUGUACUAAGUUAUUAUUAGUAUAUAACACACUUAUAUUGUAAGAAAUAACUUUUAUGUUGCUACAGAUGCCCAUAUGUGUUAGGUAUCACAUAUCUAUAGCAAUAUAUGACACAUAUGUGACAACAUAUCACCCAUUUGUAGUGACAUAUGGCACAAAUAUUACUACAGAUGCUCAUAUAUGUCAACCUAUCACACAUCUGUAACAACAUAUGAUGCAUAUGUGACAAUAUAUCACCCAUCUGUAGCGACAUAUGACACAUCUGUGGGAAUAUAUCACUCAUUUGUAGCAACAAAUGACAAAUCUGUAGCAAUAUAUAAUCCAAAUAUUCUUAUGGAUGACUCAUUUUUAUAA